This 277-nucleotide ribosomal RNA is filed under the name uncultured bacterium. RNAcentral describes it as "partial 16S ribosomal RNA". It matches the Rfam family "Bacterial small subunit ribosomal RNA", at positions 28 to 272 of the family's 1533-position model. The record is from RNAcentral.
GACGAACGCUGGCGGCGUGCCUAAUACAUGCAAGUCGAGCGAGUCUGCCUUGAAGAUCGGAGUGCUUGCACUCUGUGAAACAAGAUACAGGCUAGCGGCGGACGGGUGAGUAACACGUGGGUAACCUGCCCAAGAGAUCGGGAUAACACCUGGAAACAGAUGCUAAUACCGGAUAACAACAGAUGAUGCCUAUCAACUGUUUAAAAGAUGGUUCUGCUAUCACUCUUGGAUGGACCUGCGGUGCAUUAGCUAGUUGGUAGGGUAACGGCCUACCAAG